This 389-nucleotide ribosomal RNA is filed under the name Pyramimonadales sp. RNAcentral describes it as "partial small subunit ribosomal RNA". It matches the Rfam family "Eukaryotic small subunit ribosomal RNA", at positions 582 to 975 of the family's 1831-position model. Lineage: Eukaryota; Viridiplantae; Chlorophyta; Pyramimonadophyceae; Pyramimonadales. The record is from RNAcentral.
AUUCCAGCUCCAAUAGCGUAUAUUUAAGUUGUUGCAGUUAAAAAGCUCGUAGUUGGAUUUCGGGUGAGGAUGACCGGUCUGCCGUUGCGGUACGCACUGGACGUUUUCAUCUUGUUGUCGGGGACGCGCUUCUGGGCUUCACUGUUCGGGACGCGGAGUCGGCGCUGUUACUUUGAAAAAAUUAGAGUGUUCAAAGCAGGCAAUCGCUCUGAAUACAUUAGCAUGGAAUAACGCUAUAGGACUCUGGUCCUAUUGUGUUGGUCUUCGGGACCGGAGUAAUGAUUAAGAGGGACAGUUGGGGGCAUUCGUAUUUCAUUGUCAGAGGUGAAAUUCUUGGAUUUAUGAAAGACGAACUUCUGCGAAAGCAUUUGCCAAGGAUGUUUUCAUCA